AGAGUUUGAUCCUGGCUCAGGAUGAACGCUGGCGGCGUGCCUAAUACAUGCAAGUCGAGCGAACAGACGAGGAGCUUGCUCCUUUGACGUUAGCGGCGGACGGGUGAGUAACACGUGGGUAACCUACCUAUAAGACUGGGAUAACUUCGGGAAACCGGAGCUAAUACCGGAUAAUAUUUCGAACCGCAUGGUUCGAUAGUGAAAGAUGGCUCUGCUAUCACUUAUAGAUGGACCUGCGCCGUAUUAGCUAGUUGGUAAGGUAACGGCUUACCAAGGCAACGAUACGUAGCCGACCUGAGAGGGUGAUCGGCCACACUGGAACUGAGACACGGUCCAGACUCCUACGGGAGGCAGCAGUAGGGAAUCUUCCGCAAUGGGCGAAAGCCUGACGGAGCAACGCCGCGUGAGUGAUGAAGGUCUUCGGAUCGUAAAACUCUGUUAUUAGGGAAGAACAAACGUGUAAGUAACUGUGCACGUCUUGACGGUACCUAAUCAGAAAGCCACGGCAAACUACGUGCCAGCAGCCGCGGUAAUACGUAGGUGGCAAGCGUUAUCCGGAAUUAUUGGGCGUAAAGCGCGCGUAGGCGGUUUUUUAAGUCUGAUGUGAAAGCCCACGGCUCAACCGUGGAGGGUCAUUGGAAACUGGAAAACUUGAGUGCAGAAGAGGAAAGUGGAAUUCCAUGUGUAGCGGUGAAAUGCGCAGAGAUAUGGAGGAACACCAGUGGCGAAGGCGGCUCUCUGGUCUGUUACUGACGCUGAGGUGCGAAAGCGUGGGGAUCAAACAGGAUUAGAUACCCUGGUAGUCC
Molecule: ribosomal RNA, 806 nt
Filed under: uncultured bacterium
Lineage: Bacteria
Description: bacterial SSU rRNA
Rfam family: Bacterial small subunit ribosomal RNA
Source: RNAcentral